RNAcentral lists this long non-coding RNA (507 nucleotides) under Rattus norvegicus (Norway rat). RNAcentral's name for it is "long non-coding RNA NONRATT031108". Lineage: Eukaryota; Metazoa; Chordata; Mammalia; Rodentia; Muridae. The record is from RNAcentral.
CCAGGCAGGUGAGCGAUGACCUCACAGAGCGAGCAACAACGUUCGGGCUCAUCCUGGAUGAAGUGUCCCUGACACAUCUGACCUUCAGGAAGGAGUUCACAGAGGCGGUGGAAGCCAAACAGGUGGCUCAGCAGGAAGCUGAGAGAGCCAGAUUUGUAGUGGAAAAGGCUGAGCAGCAGAAGAAGGCGGCCAUCAUCUCUGCUGAGGGGAACUUCAAGGCAGCCGAGCUGAUCGCCAACUCGCUGGCCACCGCCGGGGAUGGCCUGAUUGGGCUGUGAAAGCUGGAAGCUGCUGAGGACAUUGCUUACCAGCUCUCCCAUCUCGGAACAUCACCUACCUGCCAGCAGGGCAGUCCGUGCUCCUCCAGCUCCCCCAGUAAGGCCAACCAGGCCACGCCCUCCAUCGCUCUGAAUGACGCCUUCCUUGUGCCCCACCCCAGAAAUCACUGUGAAAUUUAAUGAUUGGCUUAACAUGAAGGAAAUAAAGGUAAAAUCACUUCAGAUCUCU